Molecule: long non-coding RNA, 723 nt
Organism: Agrilus planipennis (emerald ash borer)
Lineage: Eukaryota; Metazoa; Arthropoda; Insecta; Coleoptera; Buprestidae
Exons: 3
Source: RefSeq, a predicted model, not a curated record
UAAUCUCCGUUUUUACUUAAAUAGGCUAUUUGGAUACCAACAGAUACUCAUCAAUUCUGUGGAAGAAAUUCAAGUGGCUUUACUUAUUAUUCCGGAAGCAACGAAGUUAUUGUUUCCUUUUAUGGUAGCUCUAAACCUCAUGGGAAGGGGUUUCGGUUAGAAUUUUCUACGACAGGUUGUAGUCGUAAUUACACUAACUCUCAAGGUCGAAUAAAAUAUGAUCGUUACAAACCUGAAAACUGUCUCAUGCUUAUUUCUACUCCCGAGAAUACAACUAUUUCGCUGUAUUUCAUGAAAUUUUCAAUUUAUGACACGCCAACCUGUUCAGAAAAUUUUCUUUUGAUAUAUGAUGGAAAUUCUACUAGUAGUCAUGAAUUAGCGCGGCUAUGUCGAUAUACAGUUCCAAAUCCUAUAUUUUCAUCUGGAAACCAGUUACUUCUACAUUUAGUUGUAAAUCAACAAAUAGCUAUGUUCUUCGAUCUUCUUUAUGUUUCCUCUUCUGGAGGUACUAUUAGUAUUUGAUAAUUGUGAAUGACUUACAUCAGACAAAGUGAAGCUGGCACAUGAAAGAAUGGCUACGAUCAUUCGCCCUCUGUUGGAACCAUAUGAAACAGCCAUUGCUGUGGAUCUCCCAAACAUAUGAAUACUAUUUCUCUGUCAACAUCCUUACCUUGGAUUUAUUAGCAAAAUUUUUUACUAAUUUCUUUUUCGAUACAUAUGCUC